CAGUCGCCGCGGUAAUACGUAGGUGGCAAGCGUUGUCCGGAAUUAUUGGGCGUAAAGGGCUCGCAGGCGGUUUCUUAAGUCUGAUGUGAAAGCCCCCGGCUCAACCGGGGAGGGUCAUUGGAAACUGGGAAACUUGAGUGCAGAAGAGGAGAGUGGAAUUCCACGUGUAGCGGUGAAAUGCGUAGAGAUGUGGAGGAACACCAGUGGCGAAGGCGACUCUCUGGUCUGUAACUGACGCUGAGGAGCGAAAGCGUGGGGAGCGAACGGGAUUAGAUACCCCUGUAGUCCCUGUCUCUUAUAU
Molecule: ribosomal RNA, 301 nt
Filed under: uncultured bacterium
Lineage: Bacteria
Description: partial 16S ribosomal RNA
Rfam family: Bacterial small subunit ribosomal RNA
Source: RNAcentral